GAUGAACGCUGGCGGCGUGCCUAAUACAUGCAAGUCGAGCGAACAGACGAGGAGCUUGCUCCUCUGACGUUAGCGGUGGACGGGAGAGUAACACGUGGAUAACCUACCUAUAAGACUGGGAUAACUUCGGGAAACCGGAGCUAAUACCGGAUAACAUGUUGAACCGCAUGGUUCAACAGUGAAAGACGGUCUUGCUGUCACUUAUAGAUGGAUCCGCGCCGCAUUAGCUAGUUGGUAAGGUAACGGCUUACCAAGGCAACGAUGCGUAGCCGACCUGAGAGGGUGAUCGGCCACACUGGAACUGAGACACGGUCCAGACUCCUACGGGAGGCAGCAGUAGGGAAUCUUCCGCAAUGGGCGAAAGCCUGACGGAGCAACGCCGCGUGAGUGAAGAAGGUCUUCGGAUCGUAAAACUCUGUUAUUAGGGAAGAACAAAUGUGUAAGUAACUAUGCACGUCUUGACGGUACCUAAUCAGAAAGCCACGGCUAACUACGUGCCAGCAGCCGCCGUAA
This 513-nucleotide ribosomal RNA is filed under the name uncultured bacterium. RNAcentral's name for it is "partial 16S ribosomal RNA". It matches the Rfam family "Bacterial small subunit ribosomal RNA", at positions 28 to 523 of the family's 1533-position model. The record is from RNAcentral.